GACGAACGCUGGCGGCGUGCUUAACACAUGCAAGUCGAACGGAAAGGCCCUGCUUUUGUGGGGUGCUCGAGUGGAGAACGGGUGAGUAACACGUGAGUAACCUGUCCUUGACUUUGGGAUAACUUAAGGAAACUGGGGCUAAUACCGGAUAGGAGCUCCUGCUGCAUGGUGGGGGUUGGAAAGUUUCGGCGGUUGGGGAUGGACUCGCGGCUUAUCAGCUUGUUGGUUGGGUAGUGGCUUACCAAGGCUUUGACGGGUAGCCGGCCUGAGAGGGUGACCGGCCACAUUAGGACUGAGAUACGGCCCAGACUCCUACGGGAGGCAACGGUGGGGAAUAUUGCACAAUAGGCGGAAGCCUGAUGCAGCAACGCCGCGUGCGGUAUGACGGCCUUCGGGUUGUAAACCGCUUUCGCCUGUGACGAAGCGUGAGUGACGGUAAUGGGUAAAGAAGCACCGGCUAACUACGUG
RNAcentral lists this ribosomal RNA (468 nucleotides) under uncultured bacterium. RNAcentral's name for it is "partial 16S ribosomal RNA". It matches the Rfam family "Bacterial small subunit ribosomal RNA", at positions 28 to 507 of the family's 1533-position model. The record is from RNAcentral.